Lolium rigidum is the source of this 1079-nucleotide long non-coding RNA. RefSeq lists it as uncharacterized. The transcript is spliced from 3 exons. The record is from RefSeq and is a predicted model, not a curated record. Lineage: Eukaryota; Viridiplantae; Streptophyta; Magnoliopsida; Poales; Poaceae.
UCCACUACGACGAGAAGAAAGCUAAGAUCCCUCAUGCGCCAUUCUCUCCCUGCCUGAUCCUUACUAAAAUACGGUGAGAGUUACAGCUGGAUUCCUCUGCAUUUUUUCUGCCUGCCUGUGAUUAGUUGAGGCAGAUCAGAGCUGAGUAGGAUGAGCUAAGUAGGCUGGCUAGGGAACGGAAUGUUGCAGAAAAAAUCUGCUCUUGACAAAUGCAGCCAACAAUUCGCUGUCAUUGCGUAUUUUUGUUUGUAAACAAAAUUUGGGUUGUUGCUGUAGAUAAAAAGACCACCCUUUUUUAUAAGUUUCAAUCUUGACGGAUAGUUGAAUUUUCAAUAAGAAUGGAACUUAUUUUGGCAUGUGGUGCUGGCAGAGAUUGUCUUGCUGUUGUUGCAGGCGCCAAAACGAAGCUUUCUUUCUAUCAACAUAUUCCUGCAGGAUUUAUCGAACAUAAACCCACUGCUGAGGUCUGAGGGCAUGGGCCCUUCGCACUAUCAAUUACAUGUUUCUGCCCACUUGCGUUGGUGGAUGUGAAGAAAUGUGCCAGGGAUCCAUCACCAUGUGUUAGGAAAUAUGAGGCAUAUGCACUCCGUAAGCUCUGUGACUUUGCUUCCAGAGGAAAAUAUGACGUUGGAGGAGGUGCUCAGUGACAAUUCCUCUUGUGAUCCUGGCUCUAGGCCUCCACCAGAAAAAUCCAGUGCAGUUCUUGGCCCGCACCUCCCUCAGUCCCCAGGGGCCAGUAUCUCCUCCCUUUGCCACCAACAUCCAGAGAAUCGAGACCGCCGUGGCUCACCAUCCCGUUCAAAUGGCGGCAGUCCUGCUUUCCUGGCAGUGUGCAGCAGCUCAACGGCUCGCCUGAUCGUCAAGCCAUCCCCAGACCUCCGUCCCUACAGCUUUCUGCCUAAACACACUUCACCUAUUGCAAGAUUUGUUGAAGAAUGAAGAGGACCGGAGGGCAUUGAUUCUCCUUUUCUUUUCUCCGUAAACACACAACGAGAAGGCACAAGAUUUUUUUCUUCAUACAUGGAGCCAGAUACUUUCUCAAAGUGAAUAAACAUGAUAUAAUUGACACUUGCAAGUCU